GUGAGUCAUCGAAUCUUUGAACGCACAUUGCGCCCGCCAGCACUCUGGUGGGCAUGCCUGUUCGAGCGUCAUUUCAACCAUCAAGCCUUACGGGCUUGUGUUGGGGCCCUGUGGAUGUCCGCAGGCCCUAAAAACCAGUGGCAGGCUCACGGUCACCCCGAGCGUAGUAGCAUUAGUCUCGCUCGGCAGGCGCCCUUGGGACUUGCCGUUAAACACGCGUAGUGCGCGCAAGGUUGACCUCGGAUCAGGUAGGAAGACCCGCUGAACUUAAGCAUAUCAAUAAGCGGAGGA
This 291-nucleotide unclassified non-coding RNA is filed under the name Chrysanthotrichum sp. RNAcentral's name for it is "partial contains 5.8S ribosomal RNA, internal transcribed spacer 2, and large subunit ribosomal RNA". The stretch from base 1 to 71 matches the Rfam family "5.8S ribosomal RNA", at positions 84 to 154 of the family's 154-position model. The record is from RNAcentral. Lineage: Eukaryota; Fungi; Ascomycota; Sordariomycetes; Sordariales; Chaetomiaceae.